AUGAAGCAGUUAAACAGAAAACUCAAGUCAGUUGGCUACGUUCCGAUCCCAGAGAACCAGAGCAGGUGGUUCCUCUGCCAGAGAGACAAUUACAGUGAGAAGCGGGAAACAACCAAAGAGGAAAAGAUUUUUGAGAACCUGUGGCCCUAGACAACUCAUGGACAGGUGCUAUUUAUGGAACUGCCUGUCCCAGGAGUGAGCUGCCUAUCCCAGAGGUCCAGCCCCAAGGAGGCCCUGCGUAGUUUGUGACACGUUUUCCUGAGGGUGGACAAUUUUCAAGACUAGCCAACAGCUGCUACGAGUUUUUACUAAGAAAGGCUAUCGUUACAAUGGAGAGGACAACACAAAAGACUUCUGGGGAACCAGGGUCUUCUGGCUUCCUCACUUCUGGUCCAACCCAGGCUGGACUGUAGCACAUCAGCGCCCCAUGAACCCAGAGCCUAAAGUCUGUGGUGAGGUGGGACCGGGGGCGGGGGGGGGGGGGGG
RNAcentral lists this long non-coding RNA (486 nucleotides) under Vulpes vulpes (red fox). RNAcentral's name for it is "lncRNA (ENSVVUG00000015597.1)". The record is from RNAcentral. Lineage: Eukaryota; Metazoa; Chordata; Mammalia; Carnivora; Canidae.